GAGUUUGAUCAUGGCUCAGGAUGAACGCUAGCGGCAGGCUUAACACAUGCAAGUCGAGGGGUAGUUACUUUCGGGUAAUGAGACCGGCGCACGGGUGCGUAACGCGUAUGCAAUCUACCUUUUACUGGGGAAUAGCCCAGAGAAAUUUGGAUUAAUGCCCCAUGGUAUUAUAGAGUGGCAUCACUUUAUAAUUAAAGUUCCAACGGUAAAAGAUGAGCAUGCGUCCCAUUAGUUAGUUGGUAAGGUAACGGCUUACCAAGACGAUGAUGGGUAGGGGUCCUGAGAGGGAGAUCCCCCACACUGGUACUGAGACACGGACCAGACUCCUACGGGAGGCAGCAGUGAGGAAUAUUGGACAAUGGGCGCAAGCCUGAUCCAGCCAUGCCGCGUGCAGGAAGAAGCAUCUAUGGUGUGUAAACUGCUUUUAUACAGGAAGAAACACUCCCUCGUGAGGGAGCUUGACGGUACUGUAAGAAUAACGACCGGCUAAUUCCGGGCCAGC
Molecule: ribosomal RNA, 502 nt
Filed under: uncultured bacterium
Lineage: Bacteria
Description: bacterial SSU rRNA
Rfam family: Bacterial small subunit ribosomal RNA
Source: RNAcentral